RNAcentral lists this ribosomal RNA (460 nucleotides) under uncultured bacterium. RNAcentral's name for it is "partial 16S ribosomal RNA". It matches the Rfam family "Bacterial small subunit ribosomal RNA", at positions 338 to 795 of the family's 1533-position model. The record is from RNAcentral.
CCUACGGGAGACAGCAGUGAGGAAUAUUGGUCAAUGGACGAGAGUCUGAACCAGCCAAGUAGCGUGAAGGAUGACUGCCCUAUGGGUUGUAAACUUCUUUUAUAUGGGAAUAAAAUGUUCCACGUGUGGGAUGUUGUAUGUACCAUAUGAAUAAGGAUCGGCUAACUCCGUGCCAGCAGCCGCGGGAAUACGGAGGAUCCGAGCGUUAUCCGGAUUUAUUGGGUUUAAAGGGAGCGUAGGUGGAUUGUUAAGUCAGUUGUGAAAGUUUGCGGCUCAACCGUAAAAUUGCAGUUGAAACUGGCAGUCUUGAGUACAGUAGAGGUGGGCGGAAUUCGUGGUGUAGCGGUGAAAUGCUUAGAUAUCACGAAGAACUCCGAUUGCGAAGGCAGCUCACUGGACUGCAACUGACACUGAGGCUCGAAAGUGUGGGUAUCAAACAGGAUUAGAUACCCGAGUAGUC